This 497-nucleotide ribosomal RNA is filed under the name uncultured bacterium. Its description in RNAcentral is "partial 16S ribosomal RNA". It matches the Rfam family "Bacterial small subunit ribosomal RNA", at positions 28 to 507 of the family's 1533-position model. The record is from RNAcentral.
GACGAACGCUGGCGGCGUGCCUAAUACAUGCAAGUUGAGCGAUGAAGAUUGGUGCUUGCCCCAAUUUGAAGAGCAGCGAACGGGUGAGUAACGCGUGGGGAAUCUGCCUUUGAGCGGGGGACAACAUUUGGAAACGAAUGCUAAUACCGCAUAACAACUUUAAACAUAAGUUUUAAGUUUGAAAGAUGCAAUUGCAUCACUCAAAGAUGAUCCCGCGUUGUAUUAGCUAGUUGGUGAGGUAAAGGCUCACCAAGGCGAAGAUACAUAGCCGACCUGAGAGGGUGAUCGGCCACAUUGGGACUGAGACACGGCCCAAACUCCUACGGGAGGCAGCAGUAGGGAAUCUUCGGCAAUGGACGAAAGUCUGACCGAGCAACGCCGCGUGAGUGAAGAAGGUUUUCGGAUCGUAAAACUCUGUUGGUAGAGAAGAACGUUGGUGAGAGUGGAAAGCUCAUCAAGUGACGGUAACUACCCAGAAAGGGACGGCUAACUACGUG